AUUGAACGCUGGCGGCAUGCCUUACACAUGCAAGUCGAACGGCAGCACGGGAGCAAUCCUGGUGGCGAGUGGCGAACGGGUGAGUAAUAUAUCGGAACGUGCCCAGUCGUGGGGAUAACGUAGCGAAAGCUACGCUAAUACCGCAUACGAUCUAUGGAUGAAAGCGGGGGAUCGCAAGACCUCGCGCGAUUGGAGCGGCCGAUAUCAGAUUAGGUAGUUGGUGAGGUAAAGGCUCACCAAGCCGACGAUCUGUAGCUGGUCUGAGAGGACGACCAGCCACACUGGGACUGAGACACGGCCCAGACUCCUACGGGAGGCAGCAGUGGGGAAUUUUUGGACAAUGGGCGCAAGCCUGAUCCAGCAAUGCCGCGUGCAGGAUGAAGGCCUCGGUUGUAACU
RNAcentral lists this ribosomal RNA (398 nucleotides) under uncultured bacterium. Its description in RNAcentral is "bacterial SSU rRNA". It matches the Rfam family "Bacterial small subunit ribosomal RNA", at positions 30 to 431 of the family's 1533-position model. The record is from RNAcentral.